GUAUGCAGGAUUGGACAUAGCAGUAGCAGCCAACACUCCAACUGGAUCACCAGCACAAAAUUCACUUGGUAAAUUUGACCCACCGCUAGACCCAUAUUCGAACUGAAUAAUUGAGUUGCUGGAAACGUUCCUAACAGUCCCGUCAUAACAAAUGACUACAUCGCGGAGAAUGGCCAUCAAAUUCUUGAACAAUGUCCCAGGUUCUGUUAAUCCCCUGGUUGAGCGGACAAUCACUUCUCUACUGGAGAUCGAAUGAA
RNAcentral lists this unclassified non-coding RNA (257 nucleotides) under Hevea brasiliensis (rubber tree). Lineage: Eukaryota; Viridiplantae; Streptophyta; Magnoliopsida; Malpighiales; Euphorbiaceae. The record is from RNAcentral.